GGCGUAGCUCAGCUGGUAGAGUAGUGGUCUCCAAAACCAUUGGUCGUGGGUUCGAAUCCUACCGCC
RNAcentral lists this transfer RNA (66 nucleotides) under uncultured Brumimicrobium sp. It matches the Rfam family "tRNA". Rfam says of the family: Transfer RNA (tRNA) molecules are approximately 80 nucleotides in length. Their secondary structure includes four short double-helical elements and three loops (D, anti-codon, and T loops). The record is from RNAcentral. Lineage: Bacteria; Pseudomonadati; Bacteroidota; Flavobacteriia; Flavobacteriales; Crocinitomicaceae. RNAcentral also lists the same sequence under 1 other name.